Molecule: long non-coding RNA, 3557 nt
Filed under: Macaca mulatta (Rhesus monkey)
Lineage: Eukaryota; Metazoa; Chordata; Mammalia; Primates; Cercopithecidae
Description: lncRNA (ENSMMUG00000056909.1)
Source: RNAcentral
AUGGAGGAAGCAGGGGUCAAAGGUGAUGCUUGGGACAGUGGUUCUGUGCCCUCCUGCUGGCCUUUGGGCUUUGGGUCUGAGCUGAGUGGGGUCUGUGGGGUUUGCUUACUAGAUUGUGGGGCUACCCCACUGAUGUCUGUACCUGAUGGCCAGGGGUCCUUCCUUCCUCUCUCUGCUCCCUCAAGGCCUGGGGACCCUUCUUGUUGACUCAAUGUCCACUUAGUCCCAAGGAUUCAGGGACAUCUGUGAGUAUCUGCUGCUGCCCCAUCUGGCCCAAGCGAGACCUCUUCUCCCCUCCAUGUUGGGCCCCACUGCAGCCCCCUGAUGUUCACCCCCAGGACGCUCCUCAGGGGAACUGGGGUGGGGUCAUGAUCACAGGGUGGGCCUUCCCUCUCUGCCUGGCCUCGCUGCACCACCAGGUGGGUUAAACGUGGCUCCUCCUCCAGGUGGGCUUGGGGACCGUGGAGCAAGAGGGACAUCCCCUCCACACAGCAGUGUCCCCGGACCCAUCGCCCUGAGUCCCAACCCCUGCAUUGCGCAGGUUGGAGGAUCCAGAAGAAAAGGUGAGUUGCUGCCUCUGCUCUUCUCUCCUCUCCCUGGACCCCUCCUCUUUCCACCAAUCCCCACACAAGAACAGUUGGGUGCUUUUGUGUAAUUUCCCCUAAACCAUGGCUGCCCUGCUUUUCACUGCGGCCUCACUGACUGGAAUUUCUGCACUUCCUUACACCGGAACAGGUACUGGGGUCUGCUCAGCCCUCCUGUGCUCUGCAGCGGGUAGAAGAAUUCACACAUCCUCUCUCUGCUAAGGUCAGGCUGGCCAACCUUUGCUGAAGGCCUCAUUUACCCCCCUGUUCACCUCAGGGUCCAAGCCAAACAAACAAGACGUGAUGGGAGAAAACACUGCACUAAGAGUUGAAAAACAACCAGAGAGAAGAAAGACAGAGAUACAUAGAUGCAGAGACACGCACACCAGAGAGAGAGAGAGAAAGAGAGAGAGAGAGAGAGAGAGAGCAAGGAGAAUGUGUCCCACGUGAAGAACAGAGAAAAUCAGUCAUCAUGUAACAAGAAAGCAAAAAUAAAGAGCACAGGUCUAGGAAACAGAUCCUGGAAGGAAAUUAAACUUGAGUACAAAUAGAAAAUUAAAACUCAGUACAAAUUAAAAUUUGAGAGUAUGGCAGGGCAGAAACCUCCCAGCGCGGUGAGCUACAGCCUGUCCUGGGGUUCAGGAACCCCAUACGCUGGGCAGCCCCCGCCCCUGAGACCUGGCUGACCUUGGAGAGAUUGCUCCAGUCUCAGUCCAUAGUUUCUCCAAGAAAAAGGGGGAAAAUAAGGCUUGCUGAGGACAUUGUAUACAAGGACUUAAUGUGUCAAUAUUUGUAUGGAACUAAAUUAGCAAUUGCCCCAUAGAAAAAGCUGGCUGAGCUUUUGUUGAAGUUCUAAAAAUUAUAUCUAUCGGCCAGGCACGGUGGUUCACGCCUGUAAUCCCAGCACUUCGGGAGGCCAAUGCGGGCGGAUCACCUGAGGUCAGGAGUUCCAGACCAGCCUGGCCAAGAUGAUGAAACCCCGUCUCUACUAAAAAUACAAAAAUUAGCUGGGUGUGGUGGCGGGCGCCUGUAGUCCCAGCUACUCGGCAGGCUGAGGCAGGAGAAUUGCUUGAACCCUGGAGGCGGAGGUUGCAGUGAGCUGAGAUCGCACCACUGCCCUCCAGCCUGGGCGACAGAGCAAGACUCCAUCUCAAAAAAAAAAAAUUAUAUAUAUGUAUUAUGUAUUAUAUGUAAAUAUAUAAUAUAAUUAUUUAUUUAUAUUUGUUUAUUAAAUAUACAUUUACUUUAUAUAUAACGUGUAUUUUAUGUAUGUAUUAUAUAUGUAUAAUUUUUUAACUAUCCUUCUUGUAAAGACCUACAAGUGCCUUUUCUGUUUUUGUUUUGGUUCCGGUUUUCCGGGAUUUUUGGAUAUUCCUCCUUCUCUUUGAUAGAUCAUAACAGUCUGUUUUAGAGGGUAGAAUGUGAUGUUCUGAUAUUUUCUUACCUGUGCAGUCCUUUCCAGGCAGGACCGCACCAGGAGCCGUGCCCGUUUGAGUCUCCACUUCAGGCUUGGCACUGUUUUAUUUUGUUUUCUUUUGUUUUGUUACAUUUUGUUUUGUUUUUAAAGAUAAACACAAAUUAACUCAGAGAUUCUCUCACCCUCUGGUGACUCACAGGGUAAUUUCCUGUUUUAAUCUGAGUUGAGAGACCACAUGAGACCACACAAGUGGGGCGGAGACAUGGAUAUGCCUCAUCCAGCAGUGGACUCAGGGCUCUCUUGGGACACGUGAGUGUGUGGGUAUGCUGUGUGCACGUGUGAGUGUAUACAUGCUUGUGUGUGUGUGUGAAGCUUUGGGUAGGUGAGGUCAGCUAUCUGUCUGCUCUCACCCACACGUCCCUCAGACACCUCCCUCAUUCAUCCCUGAAACACAGGCUCCAUCUGAAAACACUGACAGCAACUCUGAGUCCUGUGAUGAGCAAGUUCAGGAGGUCUUGCAUACGGCAUGGGUGGUGACAACUGUGCUCAUUAAUUUGAUUAUGGCGAUCAUUGUGCAAUGUAUACGUAUAUCAAAUUAUCCCAUGGUACACCCGGAAUAUAUGCAAUCUUGGUCCACUCAAUUUUAAAAUGAAAACGCUGACACCUCCUUUGUAAGUCCUGUUUCCCUCACUCAGCUUUGAACAACUGUGAAAGCAGAGACUCGGCCCAAGUGACCUGUGCACCCGGGACCAGGCACCGGGCUGCCAGGUGUGAUGUCUUCAGAAUUAUUUACUGAUGCACAGAGUAAAGUAUGACCCAGAGAACCGGGCUUAGCUCUCCGCUGUAAAUGUAUAGCACUGUCUCAAGGUUAGCUCUUCACUUCUAGGAAGGUCUUUGGGGUCAGAAGAGCAGAUCAUUCCAACAAAGUCUCUGGGGUCAUUGGAGAUUCACAGGAGACACCUAGGACCAGCUGGGGGACUGCAUCACUGCUCAUCAGAUCUGCUGGGUGUUUGUAGCUGGGUCUCUGGAGACAACCUGUGGCUGGGUUUCUGAAAAUAGCCAGGUGACUAUAGUUGGGUCUCUGAAAACAGUCAGGUGAAUAAAGCUGGGUCUCUAGAAACAGCCAGACAACUGCAGCUGGGUCUCUAGAAACAGUCACAACUGUAGCUGUGUCUCUAGAAACAGCCAGACAACUAAAACGGAGUCUCUAGAAACAGCCAGACAACUGUAGCUGGAGCUCUAGAGACAGCCAGACAAUUGUAGAUGGGUCUCUGGAAACAGCCAGCUGAUUAGAGCUUCGUUUCUAGAAGUAGUCAGGUGUAUGUAUCUGAGUCUCUGGAAUCAAUGGCAACACAGUCUAUCCAAGGAGCUGGUCAAUUGUAGAAGGAACCACCUGGUUAAGGAAACUUCUGGAAGCUGGUUUGAAAACUCGUCUCCAGCUCAUGUCUCCUGGACAGCUGCCUGACUCGCUUUCCAGAUGAUGAUGAGUCCAAGAGGAAGCCUUCCAAAUGGCCGCUUCAGGCUUUUCCUAGAGUGACUUUAUAUCCUCAGGUGUA